RNAcentral lists this ribosomal RNA (561 nucleotides) under uncultured archaeon. Its description in RNAcentral is "bacterial SSU rRNA". It matches the Rfam family "Archaeal small subunit ribosomal RNA", at positions 315 to 879 of the family's 1478-position model. The record is from RNAcentral.
CCGCGAAUUCGCCCUUUGCACCAGGCGCGAAAACUCCACAAUGUACGGAAGUACGAUGGGGUUAUCUCGAGUGCAGUCCGAUAAGGGCUGCUUUUCCAUAGAGUAAUAUCCUGUGGGAAUAAGAGGGGGGCAAGACUGGUGUCAGCCGCCGCGGUAACACCAGCCCCUCGAGUGGUGGGGACUAUUAUUUGGCCUAAAGCGUCCGUAGCUGGCUGUAUCCGUCCCCCGUUAAAUCCAGCGUCCUAAGCGUUGGACUGCGGGUGAUACCAUACAGCUAGAGGGUGGGAUAGGUGAGCGGUAUUUCUGGGGUAGGGGCGAAAUCCUUUGAUCCCAGGAGGACCACCAGUGGCGAAGGCUGCUCACUAGAACACGCCUGACGGUCAGGGACGAAAGCUGGGGCAGCGAACCGGAUUAGAUACCCGGGUAGUCCCAGCUGUAAACGAUGCUGCUAGGUGUUGGGUCGGCCACGUGCCGCCCCAGUGCCGCAGGGAAGCCGUUAAGCUAGCCGCCUGGGGAGUACGGCCGCAAGGCUGAAACUUAAAGGAAUUGGCGGGGGAGCAC